GGCACUGUGGCUUAGUUGGUUAAAGCACCUGUCUAGUACAGGAAAUUCUGGGUUCAAAUCCCAGCAGUGCCU
Molecule: transfer RNA, 72 nt
Filed under: Albula glossodonta (roundjaw bonefish)
Lineage: Eukaryota; Metazoa; Chordata; Actinopteri; Albuliformes; Albulidae
Rfam family: tRNA
About the family: Transfer RNA (tRNA) molecules are approximately 80 nucleotides in length. Their secondary structure includes four short double-helical elements and three loops (D, anti-codon, and T loops).
Source: Rfam by way of RNAcentral